UUCUGGCUCAGGAUGAACGCUAGCGGCAGGCUUAACACAUGCAAGUCGAGGGGCAUCGGGAGUAGCAAUACUUGCCGGCGACUGGCGCAAGGGUGCGUAACGCGUGAGCAACAUGCCCGUAUCAGGGGGAUAAUCCAUGGAAACGUGGUCUAAUACCCCAUAGUAAUUAUGUAAGGCAUCUUAUAUAAUUUAAAGCUUUGGUGGAUACGGAUUGGCUCGCGUGACAUUAGCUGGAUGGUAAGGUAACGGCUUACCAUGGCUACGAUGUCUAGGGGUUCUGAGAGGAAGGUCCCCCACACUGGAACUGAGACACGGUCCAGACUCCUACGGGAGGCAGCAGUGAGGAAUAUUGGACAAUGGAUGGAAAUCUGAUCCAGCCAUGCCGCGUGCCAGGAAGACGGCCCUAUGGGUUGUAAACUGCUUUUGUAUGGGAGCAAUAAGGGCUACGUGUAGUCCGAUGAGAGUACCAUACGAAUAAGCACCGGCUAACUCCGUGCCAGCAGCCGC
RNAcentral lists this ribosomal RNA (507 nucleotides) under uncultured bacterium. RNAcentral describes it as "bacterial SSU rRNA". It matches the Rfam family "Bacterial small subunit ribosomal RNA", at positions 17 to 518 of the family's 1533-position model. The record is from RNAcentral.